GAUGAACGCUGGCGGCGUGCCUAAUACAUGCAAGUCGAGCGAACAGACGAGGAGCUUGCUUCUCUGACGUUAGCGGCGGACGGGUGAGUAACACGUGGAUAACCUACCUAUAAGACUGGGAUAACUUCGGGAAACCGGAGCUAAUACCGGAUAAUAUAUUGAACCGCAUGGUUCAAUAGUGAAAGACGGUUUUGCUGUCACUUAUAGAUGGAUCCGCGCCGCAUUAGCUAGUUGGUAAGGUAACAGCUUACCAAGGCAACGAUGCGUAGCCGACCUGAGAGGGUGAUCGGCCACACUGGAACUGAGACACGGUCCAGACUCCUACGGGAGGCAGCAGUAGGGAAUCUUCCGCAAUGGGCGAAAGCCUGACGGAGCAACGCCGCGUGAGUGAUGAAGGUCUUCGGAUCGUAAAACUCUGUUAUUAGGGAAGAACAAAUGUGUAAGUAACUAUGCACGUCUUGACGGUACCUAAUCAGAAAGCCACGGCUAACUACGUG
This 497-nucleotide ribosomal RNA is filed under the name uncultured bacterium. RNAcentral's name for it is "partial 16S ribosomal RNA". It matches the Rfam family "Bacterial small subunit ribosomal RNA", at positions 28 to 507 of the family's 1533-position model. The record is from RNAcentral.